This 484-nucleotide ribosomal RNA is filed under the name uncultured bacterium. RNAcentral's name for it is "partial 16S ribosomal RNA". It matches the Rfam family "Bacterial small subunit ribosomal RNA", at positions 30 to 507 of the family's 1533-position model. The record is from RNAcentral.
AUUGAACGCUGGCGGCAUGCCUUACACAUGCAAGUCGAACGGUAACAGGUCUUUCGGGAUGCUGACGAGUGGCGAACGGGUGAGUAAUACAUCGGAACGUGCCUAGUAGUGGGGGAUAACUACUCGAAAGAGUGGCUAAUACCGCAUGAGAUCUAUGGAUGAAAGCAGGGGACCUUUGGGCCUUGUGCUACUAGAGCGGCCGAUGGCAGAUUAGGUAGUUGGUGGGAUAAAAGCUUACCAAGCCUACGAUCUGUAGCUGGUCUGAGAGGACGAUCAGCCACACUGGGACUGAGACACGGCCCAGACUCCUACGGGAGGCAGCAGUGGGGAAUUUUGGACAAUGGGCGCAAGCCUGAUCCAGCAAUGCCGCGUGCAGGAUGAAGGCCUUCGGGUUGUAAACUGCUUUUGUACGGAACGAAAAGUCUUGGGUUAAUACCCUGGGAUCAUGACGGUACCGUAAGAAUAAGCACUGGCUAACUACGUG